UGAUUUCGAUUAGGUGGAGAGUGCGCACGGGUGAGUAACACAUGGCUGACCUGCCCCGGCAGCGGGGGGACAACCACUGGAAACGGUGGCUAAUACCCCAUGGCUUCACGGCGUUUAGAAGGCGGUGAAGAAAACUGAGGUGCUGUGGGAGGGGGCUGUGGCCCAUCAGCUAGUUGGUAAGGUGACGGCUUACCAAGGCGAGGACGGGUAGGGGGCCUGAGAGGGUGACCCCCCACACGGGCACUGAGACACGGGCCCGACUUCUACGGAAGGCAGCAGUAAGGGAUAUUGCGCAAUGGGCGAAAGCCUGACGCAGCAACGCCGCGUGCGGGAUGACGGCCUUCGGGUUGUAAACCGCUUUUCUGCGUGAAGAGGAAGGACGGUAGCGCAGGAAUAAGUCUCGGCUAACUACGUGCCAGCAGCCGCGGUAAAACGUAGGAGGCGAGCGUUAUCCGGAUUUACUGGGUGUAAAGCGCGUGCAGGCGGCAGCGUAAGUUAGGCGUUGAAAGCGCUCAGGCUCAACCGGGCGAGGACGUGUAAAACUGCGUUGCUAGAGCGCAGGGUAGAAGCGCGUGUGGAAUUCCCGGGGUGUAGUGGUUGAAAAUUGCGUAGGAGAUCCCGCGAGUGAACACCAGUGGCGAAAGGCGAACACGCCUGGGGCCUGACCUGACGCUAAAGACGCGAAAGCAUGGGGAGCGAACGGGAUUAGAACCCCGGUAGUCCAUGCCGUAAACGAUGCUUAC
RNAcentral lists this ribosomal RNA (743 nucleotides) under uncultured organism. RNAcentral's name for it is "bacterial SSU rRNA". It matches the Rfam family "Bacterial small subunit ribosomal RNA", at positions 75 to 816 of the family's 1533-position model. The record is from RNAcentral.